This 1405-nucleotide long non-coding RNA is filed under the name Mus spretus (western wild mouse). Its description in RNAcentral is "RIKEN cDNA 1700129L04 gene (ENSMSPG00010050495.1)". The record is from RNAcentral. Lineage: Eukaryota; Metazoa; Chordata; Mammalia; Rodentia; Muridae.
GGUGGCUUCCAUCCCCUCUGGCUGAGCCUCCCUCUUUCUUGUGGAGUAAACUUCAGUUGUCGACUAGUGAGUGAUGUUUGUGAGUAGAUUGAACUACUGCUGCUGAUUCCUGUGAACUGAGCUGCUGAUGUCCUGACAUCACAGAUUCAAUUUGCUCCAAAUAACUAUUUCUAAACAGGCAUAACUCUGAAUUCUGUUCUCCAAGAAAGUUAUUGCAUGCAGAUCUGAGUCUGAUUCCAGGGAGGUAGUCCUAUAGCUGGGCCUUGGAGAUCUGCGCAGUCAUUGCUCCAGAGCAAUUACCCAUAAUAAGAGGAGCUGAGUUAGUGACAACACUUUGAGGGAGAUGAAGUAGACUGUGGCCAAAGCUUCAUCGAGCAUGCUACCCUGUGUAAGAUGACCAUUGAAGAAUGACCUGUAGACCUGUGGGAAUAAAGCUUCCUCUUUCCUCUCUGGGGACUACCCUUGCUCUCAACUCCAAGUUAGAUGUGACCAGACCUAUAGAAUCCUGAGUCUUGAGGUCUCCUCAAAACCUACUGGACCACUACAAGAGAAUGCCUGGGGGAACUGAACAAAGAUCACACAAAGUCGAAGCUGUAUGUCAAUGUGCUGCAUAUCUUCACCUUCAGAGAAGCCUAAAGGCCAACGUCAGCAUCAGCCAGGGGAAUGACAGUGUAUCAUCUGCAAGUCUGAGACGCCCUUGCUUGUUCGCAAGUACAGCUGGCUCACACGCCACAGACACGUUCUUUGAGACAAAGCUAGAGGAAAUCAGGCCAGACAGAACAGUGAGUCCGGCUAUUGACUCAGCAAGAACAUCGCUGCAAAAUCUCCUAGGAAGUUGCAAGGCCAGCAGUUGUCUUAAAAAUAGUGACCAGUUCUAAGGGAGGAUAGAUAAACAAUAAACAAUGGUGGUGUUCUGGGGUCUUGAAUAAUUGAGUCGGCAUCAAGGGGUUAUCCACUAAAAGUUAUUUACUGCCAUUGUCUAUUUCAUAUUUCAUAUUGGGUCAUUUUGGUGACCAAGAGGGCAGUCAGAGAGUGCACUGGAAGGCUUAUGAGCCCCCCGGGUAACGUGAAGCAGGUUGAUCCCACUCCUGCCUUUCCUACUAAGUGCUUGGAGAGCUUCCACACAUUAGACAUGAAACCGGACACUGUGAGAAUUGAUUGGCCCACAGGGAGAAGAGAGAAGAAAUCAUUCUUAACAGCCCUAGUCAGUCAGUGCUGAUCUUAGGCCCUCAAUGGCAAAGGAACACCAUAAGUAGCCACCAUGGAGAGAAGAUGAGUGGCUAGCUCUGGCUUUGUAAAUACAAAUUGCCAUGUGACAGUGAGGGUUGUUUCUAAGUGUAUGUUAUCAGGUCUAAAUUCAUAGUGCUUAUUUAAUUUUCUAAUUAAAUUACUAAUGAAUGCUCUA